RNAcentral lists this ribosomal RNA (253 nucleotides) under uncultured bacterium. RNAcentral's name for it is "partial 16S ribosomal RNA". It matches the Rfam family "Bacterial small subunit ribosomal RNA", at positions 524 to 776 of the family's 1533-position model. The record is from RNAcentral.
UACAGAGGGGGCCAGCGUUAUUCGGAAUUAUUGGGCGUAAAGAGCGUGUAGGCGGCCAGAUAGGUCUGCUGUGAAAACUCGAGGCUCAACCUCGAGAUGUCGGCGGAAACCAUUUGGCUAGAGUCCGGAAGAGGAAAGUGGAAUUCCUGGUGUAGCGGUGAAAUGCGCAGAUAUCAGGAAGAACACCCGUGGCGAAGGCGGCUUUCUGGGACGGUACUGACGCUGAGACGCGAAAGCGUGGGGAGCGAACAGG